Non-coding RNA from Plutella xylostella (diamondback moth), 284 nucleotides. NCBI's taxonomy places the organism in Eukaryota, Metazoa, Arthropoda, Insecta, Lepidoptera, Plutellidae. The record is from RefSeq and is a predicted model, not a curated record.
AAUUUAUUUGUUGUUGUCUUGUCAUACCUAGUUAUUUUUGCAAAUUAGUAAGUUUCAUUGAAGAAAUUGAGAAAAAGUGCUGUGUACAAGUUUGUAAAAGUGAAUCGUGUGGUGGUUGCGGCAUAUUAUUUCACAGAUUUCCCAAGAAUGAAGAUAAGAAAAAAAUAUGGCCAGCCAUCCAGAUGUUGUUCCGGUGUCACAAUAGAUCAUCAUCAUCCAGUUCAAUGUAAUGAAGAACCACACAUGAGUUCCAGUUGUGAAGGCAUUAGCUAAUUCAUAUUUAA